GAUGAACGCUAGCGGAAGGCUUAAUACAUGCAAGUCGAGCGGUAGGUGGCUUCGGCCAUUGAGAGCGGCGCACGGGUGAGUAACGCGUACAUGACCUGCCUGUCAGAAGGGGAUAGCCCUGGGAAACUGGGAUUAAUACCCUAUGGUAUUGAUAUUAUGAAUGAUAUCAAUUAAAGUUGAGGCGCUGACAGAUGGAUGUGCGUCUGAUUAGCUAGUUGGUAGGGUAACGGCCUACCAAGGCGACGAUCAGUAGGGGCGUGAGAGCGUGGUCCCCCACACGGGUACUGAGACACGGACCCGACUCCUACGGGAGGCAGCAGUAAGGAAUAUUGGUCAAUGCCCGCAAGGGUGAACCAGCCAUUCCGCGUGGAGGAUGAAGGCCCUAUGGGUUGUAAACUUCUUUUAGAUGGGAAGAAAAUGCUAGAUGUAUCUGGUACUGACGGUACCAUCAGAAUAAGACACCGGCUAACUCCGUGCCAGCAGCCGCGGUAAU
This 493-nucleotide ribosomal RNA is filed under the name uncultured bacterium. Its description in RNAcentral is "bacterial SSU rRNA". It matches the Rfam family "Bacterial small subunit ribosomal RNA", at positions 28 to 524 of the family's 1533-position model. The record is from RNAcentral.